RNAcentral lists this ribosomal RNA (460 nucleotides) under uncultured bacterium. Its description in RNAcentral is "partial 16S ribosomal RNA". It matches the Rfam family "Bacterial small subunit ribosomal RNA", at positions 338 to 795 of the family's 1533-position model. The record is from RNAcentral.
CCUACGGGAGGCAGCAGUGAGGAAUAUUGGUCAAUGGACGAGAGUCUGAACCAGCCAAGUAGCGUGAAGGAUGACUGCCCUAUGGGUUGUAAACUUCUUUUAUAUGGGAAUAAAAUGUUCCACGUGUGGGAUUUUGUAUGUACCAUAUGAAUAAGGAUCGGCUAACUCCGUGCCAGCAGCCGCGGUAAUACGGAGGGUCCGAGCGUUAUCCGGAUUUAGUGGGGUUAAAGGGAGCGUAGGUGGAUUGUCAAGUCAGUUGUGAAAGUUUGCGGCUCAACCGUAAAAUUGCAGUUGAAACUGGCAGUCUUGAGUAUAGUAGAGGUAGGCGGAAUUCGUGGUGUAGCGGUGAAAUGCUUAGAGAUCACGAAGAAUUCUGAUUGCGAAGGCAGUCCACUGGAAUGUAACUGACACUGAGGCUCGAAAGUGUGGGUAUCAAACAGGAUUAGAUACCCGUGUAGUC